AGCUCCACGAGCAUGUACGUAAGUUGUUGCAGUUAAAAAGCUCGUAGUUGGAUCUCAGGCUCGUAGCCAGUGGUCCGCUCAGUAUGAGUGUGCACUGCUGUGCUCGGCCUACGUCUGGUUUACGUUCGUAGUGCCCUUAACUGGGUGCUGCGGAAUGCCAGAAGGUUUACUCUGAAAAAAUUAGAGUGCUCAAAGCAAGCUGUUAUGCUUGAAUACUGUUGCAUGGAAUAAUGGAAUAGGACCUCGGAUCUAUUUUGUUGGUUUUCGGAGUCGAGGUAAUGAUUAAGAGGGACAGACGGGGGCAUUCGUAUUGCGCCGUUAGAGGUGAAAUUCUUGGAUCGGCGCAAGACGAACAACUGCGAAAGCAUUUGCCAAGGAUGUUUUCAUUA
Molecule: ribosomal RNA, 389 nt
Filed under: Heterolepidoderma sp.
Lineage: Eukaryota; Metazoa; Gastrotricha; Chaetonotida; Chaetonotidae
Description: partial small subunit ribosomal RNA
Rfam family: Eukaryotic small subunit ribosomal RNA
Source: RNAcentral